UAAUAAGUGUUUUAGGGCACUUUUUAAAUCCAUAUCCACCUUGUGUGCAAUGUCAGUCGAUCUUCUUCAUGGAGAUCGACCAAACAUCAACCUUUAUCUUUUAACUCUUUGUCUGAAAAAUAUUAUGAAUAAACAAUUCAAAAUA
RNAcentral lists this unclassified non-coding RNA (145 nucleotides) under soil metagenome. RNAcentral's name for it is "partial internal transcribed spacer 1". The record is from RNAcentral.